AAUAGACUACCCCGAGUAGUCCUAGCCUUAAACGAUGAAUGCUUGGUGUCUGGGGUUUUAUAGUCCCCGGGUGCCGUCGCUAACGCUUUAAGCAUUCCGCCUGGGGAGUACGGUUGCAAGACUGAAACCCAAAGGAAUUGACGGGGACCCGCACAAGCGGUGGAGCAUGUGGUUUAAUUCGACGCAACGCGAAGAACCUUACCUGGGCUAGAAUGCCUCUGACCGGCGUAGAGAUACGCCUUCCUGGGUAAAACCAGGCAGAGUGCAAGGUGCUGCAUGGCUGUCGUCAGCUCGUGUCGUGAGAUGUUGGGUUAAGUCCCGCAACGAGCGCAACCCUUAUCAAUAGUUGCCAGCGGUUCGGCCGGGCACUCUAUUGAGACUGCCGUUGACAAAACGGAGGAAGGUGGGGAUGACGUCAAGUCCUCAUGGCCUUUAUGUCCAGGGCUACACACGUGCUACAAUGGACGGUACAAACCGCUGCGAACUCGCGAGAGGGAGCUAAUCGGAAAAAACCGUUCUCAGUACGGAUAAGAGUCUGCAACUCGUA
RNAcentral lists this ribosomal RNA (547 nucleotides) under uncultured bacterium. RNAcentral's name for it is "bacterial SSU rRNA". It matches the Rfam family "Bacterial small subunit ribosomal RNA", at positions 777 to 1316 of the family's 1533-position model. The record is from RNAcentral.